CCCUUAGAUGUCCUGGGCCGCACGCGCGCUACACUGACUGGUGCAACAAGUGUCUGACCUUGGCUCGAGAGGCCUGGGCAACCUUUGAACGCCAGUCGUGCUGGGGAUAGAUUCUUGCAAUUAUUAAUCUUCAACGAGGAAUUCCUAGUAAACGCAAGUCAUCAGCUUGCAUUGAUUACGUCCCUGCCCUUUGUACACACCGCCCGUCGCACCUACCGAUUGAAUGGUCCGGUGAAGCGUUCGGACCGUGGCCUUUGGACGGUUCGCCGUCUGUUGGCUGCGGGAAGUUCGUUAAACCUUAUCAUUUAGAGGAAGGAGAAGUCGUANCA
This 329-nucleotide ribosomal RNA is filed under the name uncultured eukaryote. RNAcentral describes it as "partial 18S ribosomal RNA". It matches the Rfam family "Eukaryotic small subunit ribosomal RNA", at positions 1470 to 1796 of the family's 1831-position model. The record is from RNAcentral.